Long non-coding RNA from Musa acuminata AAA Group (dessert banana), 918 nucleotides. RefSeq lists it as uncharacterized. The transcript is spliced from 3 exons. Lineage: Eukaryota; Viridiplantae; Streptophyta; Magnoliopsida; Zingiberales; Musaceae. The record is from RefSeq and is a predicted model, not a curated record.
AUGAGUUUGAGAACAGUGACUUGGCCGGUACGUAACCGUCUGAGUGACGCGGGGAGGAACGGAUCCGUUGCCAGCGUACAGCCCCCCGUCGUCUUCACGCAAGGCGAACGCUCUUGCCCUCUCGUUCUAACCGCCGCACCUCUCCUUCCUCAUCCUCGCGCCCAUCAGCUGCUCGCUCGCGUGCUCCUGAGAGCGACGAUGACCGAUGUCCCUCGGCGUCCUCCCUCCUCCUCCUCCUCCUCCAACGCCAAUUACUCCGCCGCCGCAAGAGCCCUUUACGACGAGGGAGACGAUGCCGCGAGCAACGAUGACGGUAGAGAUGAUCGCGAAGGUCGUGGAAAGACGGGGGGUGGAGUGUCAUUCGAUCUUCGUGUCCGUGUGCCCCGCCAUGCGUGUAGGCUUUAUCGAAAUGAUUCCUCUUUUCUUUAACGAUCCAGUUUCCUCCCGAUGUUAACCGAGCAUCUUGAUUUGGCCGCCGCGUGACUGUCAGCAACUGGAGAACAAAGGCACCCAAGUGCUAGUUCUUAAGCAAUAUUCUUCAAGAGAAUGUUCUGUGGGAAAACUGCAUCUCAAAUCUCAAUGUUGCUGAACAAUGUAGAUAUGACACAGCUCUGCAACAACAGCAACAACAAACAGGCAGCUUCCUCUCACACCACGUCCUUCACAAAUCCACCGUCCCCUCAGAACCAUUCCAUCGAACAUGUGGCCUGCAACAGAGUAUGACGCGACGCGGCCUCCUCGCAUCCUCCACUGUAUUCCCGUGCCGCCCUUCCAUUGGUUGUCAGCCAUGGGCCCGCUAUGGUUUAACUCCGUGGGGCCUGCGAAAUUGUUUAGCCGCUGGGUCGAGGCAUGGCCGCAUGGAAGCCUCGUCCCUCCGGUUUUAACUGAUCUACCUACUUCUUUAUACUGGUCGGUGCC